CUUCCCUCACCUCCCUCCUCCAUUCCCACUCCAUUUUUUGGGUGGUUUUUCUCUCUGAGGGGCGCAGGGAAGCGAGGGGGCACAGCAGCACCCCCUGUGCUCCCCCCCUGCCCAGGCAGCCGCUGCAAAAGAUCAAAGCACGGUAAAAAUAGCAAGAGGGGAGAGCUUGUGGGUUUGACAUCUGGAGGCCAGAAACAGCUCCUGCUUUGGAGGAGGCAAGAGCCACGUGGGAAUUGUCUGCGCUCCUUGGCUGGAUAAAACAGUUGUUGGGGCAGAUGGGACGAUAAAGUUUCGUGUGAAACUGGAGCUGCAGCAUUUCUGUGCCCGGAUGGAGCUUUCAGUCAGGGUGAUGUAAACACCGCUGCAGAAUUUGGGAGGCUGUUCUGUUUGGGGAAUGUGAUGGAUUAAAGCUGACAAAUGAGAUUUUUUUUUUUUUUGGCCUUUUGGGUUGUGCCAGUUUCAUGUGAGGCAAAGCUCUGGCUCCCAGACCAAUCCCAAA
This is a long non-coding RNA of Pipra filicauda (Wire-tailed manakin), 499 nucleotides long. RefSeq lists it as uncharacterized. The record is from RefSeq and is a predicted model, not a curated record. Lineage: Eukaryota; Metazoa; Chordata; Aves; Passeriformes; Pipridae. The transcript is spliced from 3 exons.